Molecule: long non-coding RNA, 195 nt
Organism: Drosophila gunungcola (fruit fly)
Lineage: Eukaryota; Metazoa; Arthropoda; Insecta; Diptera; Drosophilidae
Exons: 3
Source: RefSeq, a predicted model, not a curated record
AUUAUGCUUUGUUUUAUGAUUAUAAAUGUACAAAAUUAAUUCAAAUUUGGUAUGCCUAUUUUCAAGUCUGAUAUACGGUUUUCACUUGUUGUUAUUUGAAUUUGUAUUACUUCUGAAUUUAACCAAUUGUGUAAAACAACACAUAUAAAUGCAGAAUCUUUAUAUGAUUUGAUUUCCUGUAAUUUUCCCAUUUCG